This 253-nucleotide ribosomal RNA is filed under the name uncultured bacterium. RNAcentral describes it as "partial 16S ribosomal RNA". It matches the Rfam family "Bacterial small subunit ribosomal RNA", at positions 524 to 776 of the family's 1533-position model. The record is from RNAcentral.
UACGUAGGGGGCAAGCGUUGUCCGGAUUUAUUGGGCGUAAAGCGCGCGUAGGCGGCCACGCAGGUCCGCUGUGAAAACUCGAGGCUCAACCUCGAGCUGGCGGUGGAAACUGCGUGGCUAGAGUCCGGGAGAGGGGACUGGAAUUCCCGGUGUAGCGGUGGAAUGCGCAGAUAUCGGGAGGAACACCCGUGGCGAAGGCGGGUUGCUGGGCUGACACUGACGCUGAGGCGCGAAAGCUAGGGGAGCGAACGGG